This 433-nucleotide ribosomal RNA is filed under the name uncultured bacterium. Its description in RNAcentral is "partial 16S ribosomal RNA". It matches the Rfam family "Bacterial small subunit ribosomal RNA", at positions 29 to 507 of the family's 1533-position model. The record is from RNAcentral.
AACGAACGCUGGCGGCAUGCCUAACACAUGCAAGUCGAACGAGACCUUCGGGUCUAGUUGCGCACGGGUGCGUAACGCGUGGGAACCUGCCCUUAGGUUCGGAAUAACUCACCGAAGGGGGUGCUAAUACCGGUUAAUGUCUUCGCACCAACGAUUUAUCGCCUUUGGAUGGGCCCGGGUUGGAUUAGCUAGUUGGUAGUGUAAAAGCCUACCAAGGCCACGAUCCAUAGCUGGUCUGAGAGGAUGAUCAGCCACACUGGGGCUGAGGCACGGCCCAGACUCGUACGGAACGGAGCAGAGGGUAAUACAGUAGAAGGAAGGAAAGCCUGAUACAGCAAUGCCGCGUAAGUGAUGAAUGCCUUAGUAUUGUAAAGCUCUUUUAGACGGGAUGAUAAUGACAGUACCGGGAGAAUAAGCUCCGGCUAACUACGUG